UUUAAGUUCAGUUGUAAUUUCUGUCCAAUGCUUGACCAUUCGUUAUAUUUGAAUUUUGUUAUGAUUAGUGUUUUUUUUAUUAAAUGAUAAAACAUGAAUAUUAUUUUAUGUGUGAUUUUUUUAAUUUUUUUAUUUUUUUUAAAUAAGAUGGACGGUUAAACAUACACACAGAAACUGAUAACUGCACUCAAA
RNAcentral lists this microRNA precursor (192 nucleotides) under Oryza sativa Japonica Group (Japanese rice). Its description in RNAcentral is "MIR812 microRNA precursor family". It matches the Rfam family "MIR812 microRNA precursor family". The record is from Rfam by way of RNAcentral. Lineage: Eukaryota; Viridiplantae; Streptophyta; Magnoliopsida; Poales; Poaceae.